UUAUGGCUUAAAAUCCAUUACCACUGGUGCAGGUGGAUGAUGAGGAUUUCUAUGAUGUGCCAUAUGAGUAGGAAUAUGAUAGUGAAGAUUCAAAUGUUGAAGAUAAACCAAGAAAUGAUUAUCCUGAUGAAACAUCCGAUGAGGAGGAAGAGGAGGAGGAAGAGGAUGAAGAUGAAGAUGAAGAGAGUAAAUCCUCUAGCAGCAUCAAGUCUUCAGA
Molecule: long non-coding RNA, 217 nt
Organism: Hibiscus syriacus
Lineage: Eukaryota; Viridiplantae; Streptophyta; Magnoliopsida; Malvales; Malvaceae
Exons: 3
Source: RefSeq, a predicted model, not a curated record